RNAcentral lists this unclassified non-coding RNA (200 nucleotides) under soil metagenome. RNAcentral's name for it is "partial contains internal transcribed spacer 2 and large subunit ribosomal RNA". The record is from RNAcentral.
UGCUAAACUCAAGCCUACUUGUAGGCCUGGUCUUGGGCUUUGUCCACUCUGGUGGACAUGCCUCAAAUGCAACGGCGACACUGCCUGGCUUCAAGCGUCUAGGAAACUUCACCGCUUCUGUCAGAUAAAUGUCUGCCUCUCAACCCCAAUUUUUAUUCUGGGUUGACCUCGGAUCAGGUAGGGAUACCCGCUGAACUUAA